Molecule: non-coding RNA, 84 nt
Organism: Potamilus streckersoni
Lineage: Eukaryota; Metazoa; Mollusca; Bivalvia; Unionida; Unionidae
Source: the annotation of a GenBank genome assembly
GUUCCAUUGGCUUAGUGGUUAGAGCGUCUGCCUCGUAUGCGGGAGGUCGCAAGUUUGAACCCCGGCCGCGUAAUACAUGGACUU